Molecule: long non-coding RNA, 1305 nt
Filed under: Mus musculus (house mouse)
Lineage: Eukaryota; Metazoa; Chordata; Mammalia; Rodentia; Muridae
Description: long non-coding RNA chr12:64983654-64984959
Source: RNAcentral
AAUUUUUAGUUCUUAAAAUGUUUUAAAAUGCUGGAUGUGGUGGCAUAUUCCUUUAAUCCUAGUACUGGGGAGGCAGAGGCAAAUAGAGCUUGAGUUAGCCUGGUCUAUAUAACAAGCUCCAGGCUAGCUAGGGCUAUAUAGACCACAUUUCAGACAAAACAAACAGUUUAAAAGCUUUAAACAGUUUAAUACCUUUAAAACACAAUGUGGAGUUUUACCAGCGGCACCUUACUUACCUGUAGUGGAGUAGAAAUAGAAAGAGAGUGUGACCUUGUAUCAAAUGCUUUAGUUGCUUCCCUAAGAUUUAUUCUAACAUUCUUUAUCCCUUAGCUCUUUUCUGGAUCAUUUGCUUUCUUGCCAGUUGACUUUUAUAGGUCAGCACAAGUUCACUCUAGUUAAGGGCAGGCCCAGCUGUUGCCCCACUAUUUUUUAUAUGUUAUUUUCAUUAUCUUACAAAUUUGGAAUUCCAUGCUUGUAGAUCAUUCAGCCCAGUGAGGAUUUGACCUGCCUACAUUAACAGCUCUGAGAUUCAGGUCCUGGCUACCUUAUACCUGCUUUCCCAGAAAACCUCUUCUCUGAAAAAGUGACCUCACCUUGGAUUCUGGGAAUUUCUGUGACUUCAUAGUCUCAGAAUACUUCAUUUGAAAUAAUUCUCCCUUUAUUUAGGACUGGACUGAAAGUCAAUAGUAGAAAUGCCAUGAUGUGGGUAGAUAGAUGUAUAUUUGAAUAGUUUUUCUGAGUGGUGGCAUAAUUUGAUACUCCUAUUGGUAAUAUGGAAGUUAUUACUGUUGCUCAUUCUUACUAAAAUUUGAUGUCUUUUGUUUUCUUUUGGCUUUAUUUGUUAAUAUACAGCUAUCACAAGUAAAUUUAUCACAUUUAAAAUUAUCUUCAAUUUGAUUUAGCUCUCUCAAGUGGAAGUAGAGGCUGCCUAAAUAUCAGCAAUAAUAGAAUUUAGAAGAAUUUUUAUGUUUCAUUUUAGAAAUUUGUCUUAUCCUAUGGUUUUCUCUUUCACAUUUUAACUUAAAUCAUAACUUAUACUCAGAAACCUUUUAUUCUUGGAAAUUCCUUCACUGUUCCUACUUAGAUAGAAUAUUGGGAUAUAUUUACAUAGUGGAUCUAGAAUAUUAACAAAGUAACAAUUUACAAUGAGCAUUAAACAUGUAGUAAUUUUUAGAUCUUUUUGACUUAAUGUCCUUCAUUGAUCCUGUAAAAAGAUGAAAUUUUGUGUUGUAUCUCCUACAGUUGCAACAUAAUGUUAAAAAUUUCAAACCAAUUGCGAAGAGAAGUUCAUUUUAUAUUUGCAAC